This 149-nucleotide ribosomal RNA is filed under the name uncultured bacterium. RNAcentral's name for it is "partial 16S ribosomal RNA". It matches the Rfam family "Bacterial small subunit ribosomal RNA", at positions 1352 to 1500 of the family's 1533-position model. The record is from RNAcentral.
GAAUGCCGCGGUGAAUACGUUCCCGGGUCUUGUACACACCGCCCGUCACACCAUGGGAGUCGGGAAUGCCCGAAGCCGGUGGCCCGAUCGAAAGAAGGGAGCCGUCGAAGGCAGGCCGGAUGACUGGGGUGAAGUCGUAACAAGGUACC